UUGACGAAAUGUGACGACUAC
RNAcentral lists this microRNA (21 nucleotides) under Populus trichocarpa (black cottonwood). RNAcentral's name for it is "ptc-miR6447". Lineage: Eukaryota; Viridiplantae; Streptophyta; Magnoliopsida; Malpighiales; Salicaceae. The record is from miRBase by way of RNAcentral.